This 467-nucleotide ribosomal RNA is filed under the name uncultured bacterium. RNAcentral's name for it is "partial 16S ribosomal RNA". It matches the Rfam family "Bacterial small subunit ribosomal RNA", at positions 28 to 507 of the family's 1533-position model. The record is from RNAcentral.
GACGAACGCUGGCGGCGUGCUUAACACAUGCCAGUCGAACGGAAAGGCCUCUUUCGGGGGGUACUCGAGUGGCGAACGGGUGAGUAACACGUGAGUAACCUGCCCUUGACUUUGGGAUAACUUCAGGAAACUGGGGCUAAUACCGGAUAGGAGCUCCUGCUGCAUGGUGGGGGUUGGAAAGUUUCGGCGGUUGGGGAUGGACUCGCGGCUUAUCAGCUUGUUGGUGGGGUAGUGGCUUACCAAGGCUUUGACGGGUAGCCGGCCUGAGAGGGUGACCGGCCACAUUGGGACUGAGAUACGGCCCAGACUCCUACGGGAGGCAGCAGUGGGGAAUAUUGCACAAUGGGUGGAAGCCUGAUGCAGCAACGCCGUGUGCGGGAUGGCGGCCUUCGGGUUGUAAACCGCUUUCGCUCAUGACGAAGCUUUGUGUGACGGUAGUGGGUAAAGAAGCACCGGCUAACUACGUG